RNAcentral lists this ribosomal RNA (714 nucleotides) under uncultured euryarchaeote. Its description in RNAcentral is "bacterial SSU rRNA". It matches the Rfam family "Archaeal small subunit ribosomal RNA", at positions 1 to 721 of the family's 1478-position model. The record is from RNAcentral. Lineage: Archaea; Methanobacteriati; Methanobacteriota.
UUCCGGUUGAUCCUGCCGGAGGCUACCGCUAUUGGAGUUCGAUUAAGCCAUGCGAGUCGCGAGAAAUUAGAUUCUCGGCGUACCGCUCAGUAACACGUGGGUAACCUGCCCUAUGCUGGAUAAUAACCUCGGGAAACUGAGAAUAAUGAUCCAUAGUUCACUACGCCUGGAACGGUGAGUGGAUGAAAGCUCCGGCGGCAUAGGAUGGGCCUGCGGCGUAUCAGGUUGUAGGGGGUGUAACGUACCCUCUAGCCCUCUACGCGUACGGGUGUUGGGAGACAUAGCCCGGAGAUGGAUUCUGAGACACGAAUCCAGACCCUACGGGGUGCAGCAGGCGCGAAAACUUGGCAAUGCGAGAAAUCGUGACCAGGGAACUCCAAGUGCAUCGGGUAAGACCGGUGCUUUUCUUGACUCUAAAUAGGUCUUGGAAUAAGGGGUGGGUAAGGACGGUGCCAGCCGCCGCGGUAAUACCGGCGCCUCAAGUGGUAGUCGCUUUUAUUGGGCCUAAAACGUCCGUAGCCGGUCUGAUACAUUCGUGGGUAAAUCAACCAGCUCAACUGGUUGAAUUCUGCGAGGACGGUCAGACUUGGGACCGGGAGAGGUGUGGGGUACGCUCAGGGUAGGGGUAAAAUCCUGUCAUCCUGAGCGGACCACCUGUUGCGAAGGCGCCACACUAGAACGGAUCCGACGGUCAGGGACGAAGCUAGGGCACGA